GACGAACGCUGGCGGCGUGCUUAACACAUGCAAGUCGAACGGUGAACGAGGGAGCUUGCUCCCUCCGGAUCAGUGGCGAACGAGUGAGUAACACGUGAGCAAUCUGCCCCGAACUCUGGGAUAAGCGUUGGAAACGACGUCUAAUACCGGAUACGACGCGGGAGGGCAUCCUCUCCGCGUGGAAAGAACUUCGGUUCGGGAUGAGCUCGCGGCCUAUCAGCUUGUUGGUGAGGUAACGGCUCACCAAGGCGACGACGGGUAGCCGGCCUGAGAGGGUGACCGGCCACACUGGGACUGAGACACGGCCCAGACUCCUACGGGAGGCAGCAGUGGGGAAUAUUGCACAAUGGGCGCAAGCCUGAUGCAGCAACGCCGCGUGAGGGACGACGGCCUUCGGGUUGUAAACCUCUUUUAGCAGGGAAGAAGCGAAAGUGACGGUACCUGCAGAAAAAGCACCGGCUAACUACGUG
Molecule: ribosomal RNA, 470 nt
Filed under: uncultured bacterium
Lineage: Bacteria
Description: partial 16S ribosomal RNA
Rfam family: Bacterial small subunit ribosomal RNA
Source: RNAcentral